Molecule: ribosomal RNA, 226 nt
Filed under: uncultured bacterium
Lineage: Bacteria
Description: partial 16S ribosomal RNA
Rfam family: Bacterial small subunit ribosomal RNA
Source: RNAcentral
GCGUUGUCCGGAUUUACUGGGCGUAAAGAGCGCGCAGGCGGCUGGAUAAGUCGAAUGUGAAAGCCCCCGGCUUAACUGGGGAGGGUCAUUCGAUACUGUUCAACUUGAAGGCAGGAGAGGGAAGCAGAAUUCCCGGUGUAGUGGUGAAAUGCGUAGAUAUCGGGAGGAAUACCAGUGGCGAAGGCGGCUUCCUGGCCUGUUCUUGACGCUGAGGCGCGAAAGCUGG